This 624-nucleotide ribosomal RNA is filed under the name uncultured bacterium. RNAcentral's name for it is "bacterial SSU rRNA". It matches the Rfam family "Bacterial small subunit ribosomal RNA", at positions 8 to 612 of the family's 1533-position model. The record is from RNAcentral.
AGAGUUUGAUCAUGGCUCAGAAUGAACGCUGGCGGCGUGCCAACACAUGCAAGUCGAGCGCGAAAGCGGCUUCGGUCGUGAGUAGAGCGGCGGACGGGUGAGUAACACGUGGAUAACCUGCCUGGAAGUGGGGAAUAACUCAGAGAAAUUUGAGCUAAUACCGCAUACGUUCGCUCCGUGCAAGCGGAAUGAACAAAGAUAGCCUCUUCUUGAAAGCUGUCGCUUCCAGAGGGAUCCGCGCCUGAUUAGCUAGUUGGUGAGGUAAUGGCUCACCAAGGCGACGAUCAGUAGCCGGCCUGAGAGGGUGAUCGGCCACACUGGAACUGAGACACGGUCCAGACUCCUACGGGAGGCAGCAGUGGGGAAUAUUGGACAAUGGGCGAAAGCCUGAUCCAGCAACGCCGCGUGGAGGAUGAAAGCCUUCGGGUUGUAAACUCCUGUCAGGUGGGACGAAAAGGUAUCGGUCAAUACCCGAUGCCCUUGACGGUACCACCGGAGGAAGCCCCGGCUAACUCCGUGCCAGCAGCCGCGGUAAUACGGAGGGGGCAAGCGUUAUUCGGAAUUAUUGGGCGUAAAGGGCGCGUAGGCGGCUUGACAAGUCAGUGGUGAAAUCCCUCGGCUCAA